GUCGAGAAUCUUUCACAAUGGGGGCAACCCUGAUGGAGCGACGCCGCGUGGAGGAUAAGGUCUUCGGAUUGUAAACUCCUGUCAUGCGUGAACAAGGUUGCUUGGUUAAUACCUGGGCAAAUUGAUGGUAACGCAAGAGGAAGAGACGGCUAACUCUGUGCCAGCAGUCGCGGUAAUACAGAGGUCUCAAGCGUUGUUCGGAAUCACUGGGCGUAAAGCGUGCGUAGGUGGCGUGGUAAGUCAGAUGUGAAAGCCCAGGGCUAAACCUCGGAACGGCAUCCGAUACUGCCAUGCUAGAGUACAGGAGAUGUGACUAGAAUUCCCGGUGUAGCAGUGAAAUGCGUAGAUAUCGAGAGGAAUACCAAAGGCGUAGGCAGGUCACUGGACAGUUACUGACACUGAGGCACGAAGGCCAGGGGAGCGAACGGGAUUAGAUACCCUUGUAGUCC
This 449-nucleotide ribosomal RNA is filed under the name uncultured bacterium. RNAcentral describes it as "partial 16S ribosomal RNA". It matches the Rfam family "Bacterial small subunit ribosomal RNA", at positions 354 to 796 of the family's 1533-position model. The record is from RNAcentral.